Molecule: ribosomal RNA, 170 nt
Filed under: Coregonus albula (vendace)
Lineage: Eukaryota; Metazoa; Chordata; Actinopteri; Salmoniformes; Salmonidae
Also listed under: 2 other names
Description: partial small subunit ribosomal RNA
Source: RNAcentral
CACCGCGGUUAUACGAGAGGCCCUAGUUGAUGAUCACCGGCGUAAAGAGUGGUUAGGAAUUAUAUUUAAUAAAGCCGAACACCCCCUUGGCUGUCAUACGCACCUGGGGGCACGAAGCCCCACUGCGAAAGCAGCUUUAAUCACCACCUGAACCCACGACAGCUAUGACA